RNAcentral lists this ribosomal RNA (506 nucleotides) under uncultured bacterium. RNAcentral's name for it is "partial 16S ribosomal RNA". It matches the Rfam family "Bacterial small subunit ribosomal RNA", at positions 29 to 523 of the family's 1533-position model. The record is from RNAcentral.
AGUGAACGCCGGCGGUAGGCCUAACACAUGCAAGUCGAACGGCAGCACAGGAGAGCUUGCUCUCUGGGUGGCGAGUGGCGGACGGGUGAGGAAUACAUCGGAAUCUACUCUGUCGUGGGGGAUAACGUAGGGAAACUUACGCUAAUACCGCAUACGACCUACGGGUGAAAGCAGGGGAUCUUCGGACCUUGCGCGAUUGAAUGAGCCGAUGUCGGAUUAGCUAGUUGGCGGGGUAAAGGCCCACCAAGGCGACGAUCCGUAGCUGGUCUGAGAGGAGGAUCAGCCACACGGGAACUGAGACACGGUCCAGACUCCUACGGGAGGCACAAGUGGGGAAUAUUGGACAAUGGGCGCAAGCCUGAUCCAGCCAUACCGCGUGGGUGAAGAAGGCCUUCGGGUUGUAAAGCCCUUUUGUUGGGAAAGAAAUCCAGCUGGCUAAUACCCGGUUGGGAUGACGGUACCCAAAGAAUAAGCACCGGCUAACUUCGUGCCAGCCGCCGCGGUAA